GUGAGUUUUCAUCGACUGCUGCGGCGGCGGCCUCCCAGUGUCCGACGAGAUCAGACCACUGAGUGUUUACUAGAUGUCACAUGAGGAUGAGAUGCGUCACUGAUUCCCUGAGGAUGGAGAAUGACAGCAGUCACAUGACUGAGAGGAUACUAAAUCUCACCCUGGAGAUCAUCUACCUACUGACUGGGGAGGAUUACACAGUAGUAAAGAAGACAUCCGGUGAAUGUGAGACACCCAGAAGCCGUCCCCAUGUGUCAGGAGGACUGAGCAGGACCCAGAGCCCCAUCACGGUGCCUCCACCUCUCUCGCUGAUACAUGAGAGGCACAAUGACCAGGAGAUUCUGGAACUCACCAACAAGAUCAUUCAGCUGCUGACUGGAGAGGAGGGGGAAUAUAUAGAGGAACACAGGGGUCUGUACAAGGACGUGAUGAUGGAGAAUCACCGGCCCCUCACAUCACUGGAUGGUCCCAGUAACAGAGAUACCCCAGAGAGAUGUCCCCGUCCUCUGUAUUCCCAGGAUUGUACAGAGGAGAAUCACAGGACCCCACAGGAGGAUCAGGGUGAAGAUCUUACAAAUAUAAAGGGAGAAGAAGAGACGUAUGUGACUGAUGUGAAGGCAGAAGAUAUAGAGGGAGAAGAAGAGACGUAUGUGACUGAUAUGAAGGCAGAAGAUACAGAGGCAGAAGAAGAGACGUAUGUGACUGAUAUGAAGGCAGAAGAUAUAGAGGGAGAAGAAGAGACGUAUGUGACUGAUAUGAAGGCAGAAGAUAUAGAGGGAGAAGAAGAGACGUAUGUGGCUGAUAUGAAGGGAGAAGAAGAGACGUAUGUGACUGAUAUGAAGGCAGAAGAUAUAGAGGGAGAAAAAGAGACGUAUGUGACUGAUAUGAAGGCAGAAGAUAUAGAGGGAGAAAAAGAGACGUAUGUGACUGAUAUGAAGGUAGAAUAUACAGACGGAGAAGAAGAGACGUAUGUAAGGAGUGAUCAGCAGUGUAAGGAGGAGGAAAUCCCUACAGAUAUCAGCACAGCAGAUGGCGGCACAAGCAGGAAUGCCUUGGAGGGAGAUCUUAUAUUGUCUGCCGAUACUGACAUAGAAGAUAACAUCACACAGGAUUCUCCAGGAGACAGCCCCAUUAUGCUAAAUAUACAUCCAGUACCUCUAAGCGCAGAUAUAUCAUCUGAUCCCCCUAACUGCGAGGACUGUUCUCCUGGUACCUCAGAUUUUGUUACACAUCGUGCAGCUCAUACACCUGAUAAAGUAUUUUCCUGUUCUGAGUGUGGGAAAUGUUUUACUCGCACAUCAAGUCUUGUUAAACAUCAGAGACAUCACACAGGUGAGAGGCCUUUUCUAUGCAGUGAGUGUGGGAAAUGUUUCACACAGAAAUCAAAUCUUGUUAGACAUCAAAGAAGUCACACUGAUGAGAAACCAUUUCCAUGCUCUGAGUGUGGGAAAUGUUUUCAAACUAAAUCACAGCUUGUUAAACAUCAGAGACGUCACACAGGUGAGAAGCCUUUUCUAUGCAGUGAGUGUGGGAAAUGUUUUACACAGAAAUCAAAUCUUGUUAGACAUCAAACAAGUCACACUGAUGAGAAACCAUUUCCAUGCUCUGAGUGUGGGAAAUGUUUUACAAAUAAAUCCGAUCUUAUUAAACAUCAGAGACUCCACACCGGUGAGAGACUAUUUACGUGUUCUGAGUGUGGGACAUGUUUCACACAGAAAUCAACUUUAGUUAUACAUCAGAGACGUCACACAGGUGAAAAACCAUUUACAUGCUCUGAGUGUGGGAAAUGUUUUACAUAUAAAUCUGCUCUUGUUAGACACCAGAAAAAUCACACAGGUGAGAAACCAUUUCCAUGCUCUGAGUGUGGGAAAUGUUUUAAAAUGAAAUCACAGCUUGUUAAACAUCAGAGAAUCCACACAGGUGAGAAGCCAUUUUCAUGCUCCAUGUGUGGGAAAUGUUUUACACAGAAAUCAGCUCUUGUUACACAUCAGAAAAUCCACACUGGUGAGAAACUAUUUUCAUGCUCCGAGUGUGGGAAAUGUUUUACACAGAAAGCAGCUCUUGUUAUACAUCAGAGAAGACACACUGGUGAGAAACCAUUUCCAUGUCCUGAGUGUUGGAAAUGUUUUACACAAAAAUCAAAUCUAUUUAGACAUCAGAUUUCACACAGUAGUAAAGCAUUUCUAAUGGCUGAUACAAAACAGGGUUGUAGCACAGUUCCUGUCACAGUAUUUGAACAAUGUAAGUUAACCAUCUGCAGACAAUUGGAAUAGAUGUCAUAUAAGACUGGAGUAGAUCACUCGGGUGAAACUAAAGCUGAGUACACACUAAACAAUGUGUACCCAGCCCAACAUCACUGCUGCCGGGACCCUGCAUGUGGCAAGUGCAUACAGCAGGACCAACGGGGGAUGUCACUAGUGACCCGUGGGAGAGCAUACCAUGGGUACACACUAGACGAUUAUUCUGUUAGAUAUUGGCCCCACUCUCCACAGUAAUAUAUACACAUUUUCUCCCAUUGCUAAAUAUAGAAACGGGUAAUGUAGGGCGACUGGGGUGGAGAACGGACUUUCCAGGUCUUUCAUUACAGAUAGUUCCAGCUGCAAAUCUUACAUUAAAUAAACAAUUUCUAUCUCCUAUGCCGAGAUGCAUCAUAUUAUAUUGCAGAUAUCUUACUUCACUCCUAGAUUAUAAUGUCUUAUAGGUGAUGCACCUACUUCUAGCUGCUAUAAAUGUGACACCAUACACAGAUAUUGUACAUUGCUUGUGGACCGGCCCACAAGUACAAGUAUUAUGGAUGGAUGCCAAAAUUCUAUUAACAAUAAUACUGAUAACUGAAUGUGUUGAUGAAACGUGAACAUUCUGCGCUAUUUACUCCAAGACAAAUUCAUAGAAAUUAACCAAAGGUAGCGGAACACAGAAUGUAAAAUCGCCAGCUGGCACUAAGAAGACUGUAUUGUCUCAAUGGAUCUCUCCUGAUCCUAUCUCUCUAACCUUACAUCCCAGACUUUGGGGGUCAUUCCAAGUUGAUCGCUCGCUGCCGAUUCUCGUAGCGCAGCGAUCAAGUAAAAACCUGGCAAAACUGCGUAUGCUCCGCAAUGCGCAGGCGUAUCGUAUGGGUACAAAGCGCGUCAUUGCUAGUGAAGAAUCCAUUCGCACAGACGAACGCAAGGAGAUUGACAGAAAGGGCAUUUAUGGGUGUCAACCUACCGUUUUCUGGGAGUGGUAGGGAAAACGCAGGCGUAUCCAGGCGAUUGCAGGGGUGUCUGACGUCAAUACCGGGACCAAAAAGACUGAAGAGAUCGCAAGCGCUAAGUCAAGAGCUACUCAGAAACUACACAAGCGAGCAUCAACUCAGAAUGACCUCCUUUAUUCCUUGUUUCUUAUGGACUGGACUGAUGUAUCCCUGCAAAAAGAAAAAUGGUGGCAAAAUUCUUCUAUAUAUGGCUUCCUUAUGUUCACACUUUGUCUGCAGUUUUUAUAGAAGCACUGAGAAUAUGUUUCCAGUCUACCUCAUAGUAUAACCUAGAGGUACUUACCUCUGGUGUAGCAGUGUAAUGUAUGUAUGAGAUAUAUUCCAUGUUUCUUUACCUUGUCCCUUGUUACUAUGUUUUAUAUGUAAGAACAAGACCAGUAUUGUUACAUCUUUUAAAAUAGCCCAAUGUUAUGGUACUGGGAAUACUUUAAAUGUCUGUAUCUUCCUUUCUUAUACAUAACUUUCUCCAGCAGGCUCCACAGGUUAUCCACAGGAUAACAUUGGGAUAUGAUGGAGGGACAGCGGAUUUGCACCAAUCGGCUAAGAAAGCUUAUGGCUGCUAAAAACCAGCAGCCAUUUAACCAUGGUCCGGCUCCUGCCGCACCAACCAUAAAACUGAUUUGCCUGAGCCAGGAGGCGGGGAUAUAUGGAUGGGCCCGUUGCAUGCUGGGAGACCGAAAAGCUUUGACCGAUUGGUGCAAAUCUGCGGUCGCUUCAUCAUAUCUCAAUGUUAUCCUGUGGACUUAGGAGAAAUACCAUUAUCAACAGGAAGUUCUUACCAUAACGUAUAUUUUCUUCUGUGUUAUUGUCAAGAUUAUUGCUAUAUUCUUGUUACUCAGAUGUAUAUAUUUUGUUUUUAUUUUAUAA
Pseudophryne corroboree (corroboree frog) is the source of this 4120-nucleotide RNA transcript. It is a transcript of the gene named oocyte zinc finger protein XlCOF6-like, with no coding region annotated. The record is from RefSeq and is a predicted model, not a curated record. The transcript has 8 exons. NCBI's taxonomy places the organism in Eukaryota, Metazoa, Chordata, Amphibia, Anura, Myobatrachidae.